RNAcentral lists this ribosomal RNA (491 nucleotides) under uncultured bacterium. Its description in RNAcentral is "partial 16S ribosomal RNA". It matches the Rfam family "Bacterial small subunit ribosomal RNA", at positions 29 to 506 of the family's 1533-position model. The record is from RNAcentral.
AGUGAACGCUGGCGGUAGGCCUAACACAUGCAAGUCGAACGGCAGCACAGUAAGAGCUUGCUCUUACGGGUGGCGAGUGGCGGACGGGUGAGGAAUACAUCGGAAUCUACUUUUUCGUGGGGGAUAACGUAGGGAAACUUACGCUAAUACCGCAUACGACCUACGGGUGAAAGCAGUGGAUCUUCGGACCUUGCGCGAUUGAAUGAGCCGAUGUCGGAUUAGCUAGUUGGCGGGGUAAAGGCCCACCAAGGCGACGAUCCGUAGCUGGUCUGAGAGGAUGAUCAGCAACACUGGAACUGAGACACGGUCCAGACUCCUACGGGAGGCAGCAGUGGGGAAUAUUGGAAAAUGGGCGCAAGCCUGAUCCAGCCAUACCGCGUGGGUGAAGAAGGCCUUCGGGUUGUAAAGCCCUUUUGUUGGGAAAGAAAAGCAGCAGGUUAAUACCCCGCUGUUCUGACGGUACCAAAAGAAUAAGCACCGGCUAACUUCGU